CUCAUAUUGAAACCUAGUGAUUUAUGAGUUAGUGGCGGACGGGUGAGUAACGCGUGGAAAACCUGCCGUAUACCGGGGGAUAACACUUAGAAAUAGGUGCUAAUACCGCAUAAGCGCACAGCUUCGCAUGAAGCAGUGUGAAAAACUCCGGUGGUAUACGAUGGUUCCGCGUCUGAUUAGCUAGUUGGCGGGGUAACGGCCCACCAAGGCAGCGAUCAGUAGCCGGCCUGAGAGGGUGAACGGCCACAUUGGGACUGAGACACGGCCCAAACUCCUACGGGAGGCAGCAGUGGGGAAUAUUGCACAAUGGGGGAAACCCUGAUGCAGCGACGCCGCGUGAGUGAAGAAGUAUUUCGGUACGUAAAGCUCUAUCAGCAGGGAAGAAAAUGACGGUACCUGACUAAGAAGCCCCGGCUAACUACGUGCCAGCAGCCGCGGUAAUACGUAGGGGGCAAGCGUUAUCCGGAUUUACUGGGUGUAAAGGGAGCGUAGACGGCAGCGCAAGUCUGGAGUGAAAUGCCGGGGCCCAACCCCGGAACUGCUUUGGAAACUGUGCAGCUUGAGUGCGGGAGAGGUAAGUGGAAUUCCUAGUGUAGCGGUGAAAUGCGUAGAUAUUAGGAGGAACACCAGUGGCGAAGGCGGCUUACUGGACCGUAACUGACGUUGAGGCUCGAAAGCGUGGGGAGCAAACAGGAUUAGAUACCCUGGUAGUCCACGCCGUANACGAUGAUUACUAGGUGUCGGGGGACCANGGUCCUCCGGUGCCGGCGCAAACGCAUUAAGUAAUCCACCUGGGGAGUACGUUCGCAAGAAUGAAAC
This 819-nucleotide ribosomal RNA is filed under the name uncultured bacterium. RNAcentral describes it as "bacterial SSU rRNA". It matches the Rfam family "Bacterial small subunit ribosomal RNA", at positions 67 to 900 of the family's 1533-position model. The record is from RNAcentral.